CCUGGAGGUCCAGUGGUUAGGACUCAGCAUUUUGACUGCUGAGGGCUUGGGUUCGAUCCCUGUUCCAGGA
Molecule: transfer RNA, 70 nt
Filed under: Ovis aries (sheep)
Lineage: Eukaryota; Metazoa; Chordata; Mammalia; Artiodactyla; Bovidae
Rfam family: tRNA
About the family: Transfer RNA (tRNA) molecules are approximately 80 nucleotides in length.
Source: Rfam by way of RNAcentral